AGAAGCAGCCAUCAUUUAAAGAAAGCGUAAUAGCUCACUGGUCGAGUCGGCCUGCGCGGAAGAUGUAACGGGGCUAAACCAUGCACCGAAGCUGCGGCAGCGACGCUGAUGCGUUGUUGGGUAGGGGAGCGUUCUGUAAGCCUGCGAAGGUGGCCUGUGAGGGUUGCUGGAGGUAUCAGAAGUGCGAAUGCUGACAUAAGUAACGAUAAAGCGGGUGAAAAGCCCGCUCGCCGGAAGACCAAGGGUUCCUGUCCAACGUUAAUCGGG
Molecule: ribosomal RNA, 267 nt
Filed under: Salmonella enterica
Lineage: Bacteria; Pseudomonadati; Pseudomonadota; Gammaproteobacteria; Enterobacterales; Enterobacteriaceae
Description: partial 23S ribosomal RNA
Rfam family: Bacterial large subunit ribosomal RNA
Source: RNAcentral